AUACAGGACCAAUGGUGCUGUGUUUGGAAUGAGUAUAAUUUAAAAACCUUAACGAGGAACCAUUGGAGGGCAAGUCUGGUGCCAGCAGCCGCGGUAAUUCCAGCUCCAAUAGUGUAUACUAAAGUUGCUGCAGUUAAAAAGCUCGUAGUUGGAUUUCGGUUAAUGAAAAGUUAGUCCACUUAAUAUAUAAGUGCGUACUGACGUUUUAUUUCCUUCUUUUCAGAUAUACAACUUGUUGUGUUCUGAAUCUUUUACUUUGAGAAAAUUAGAGUGUUCAAAGCAGGCGUAACCAAGCCUUUGAAUAUAUUAGCAUGGGAUAAUGGAAUAAGACUUUUUGCCUUAUUUUCGUUGGUUCUUGAGGCUAAAGUAAUGAUUAAUAGGGAUAGUUGGGGUCAUUAGUAUUUAAUUGUCAGAGGUGAAAUUCUAAGAUUUAUUAAAGACUAACUACUGCGAAAGCAUUUGACAAGGAUGUUUUCAUUAAUCAAGAACGAAAGUUGGGGGAUCGAAGAUGAUCAGAUACCGUCGUAGUCUCAACCAUAAACUAUGCCGACCAAGGAUUCGGGGGUGUUAUAUGAAUGACCCUCCGGGCACUUAUAGAGAAAUCAUAAGUAUUUGGGUUCCGGGGGGAGUAUGGUCGCAAGGCUGAAACUUAAAGGAAUUGACGGAAGGGCACCACCAGGAGUGGAAUAUGCGGUUUAAUUUGACCCAACACGGGAAAACUUACCAGGUCCAGACACAGUGAGGAUUGACAGAUUGAGAGCUCUUUCUUGAUUUUGUGGGUGGUGGUGCAUGGCCGUUUCUAGUUGGUGGAGUGAUUUGUCUGGUUAAUUCCGUUAACGAACGAGACCUUAACCUAUUAAAUAGUUACACAUACUUGGGAUUCGUCCUAAUAGUAUGUGGUUAACUUCUUAGAGGGACUCUUCACGUAAAGAGUGAAUGGAAGUUUGAGGCAAAAACAGGUCUGUGAUGCCCUUAGAUGUUCUGGGCUACACGCGUGUUACACUGAUAUAUUCAACAAGCAUUAUAAUUCCUUACCCGAUGGGGUUGGGUAAUCUUUUAAAUGUAUAUCGUGAUGGGGAUAGACCAUUGUAAUUAUUGGUCUUGAACGAGGAAUUCCUAGUAAGUGCAGGUCAUUAGCUUGCGCUGAUUACGUCCCUGCCCUUUGUACACACCGCCCGUCGCUCCUACCGAUGAAUGGUCCGGUGAGGACUCAGGAUGACCGUGGAUUUUGGUAUAAUAUACCAUGCCAUUGUUUGUCAGAAUCUGUUCAAACCUUAUCAUUUAAAGGAAGGAGAAGUCGUAACAAGGUUUCCGUAGGUGAACCUGCGGAAG
Molecule: ribosomal RNA, 1332 nt
Filed under: metagenome
Description: SSU rRNA
Rfam family: Eukaryotic small subunit ribosomal RNA
Source: RNAcentral